CCCAUGUGAUGCAAACACCUUUGUGCCUGACAUAACUGCUGGAGGUUACAAACAAAACUGAUUUAAUGAGGCUGAUGG
Lethenteron reissneri (Far Eastern brook lamprey) is the source of this 78-nucleotide small nucleolar RNA. NCBI's taxonomy places the organism in Eukaryota, Metazoa, Chordata, Hyperoartia, Petromyzontiformes, Petromyzontidae. The record is from RefSeq and is a predicted model, not a curated record.